Long non-coding RNA from Monodelphis domestica (gray short-tailed opossum), 1707 nucleotides. RefSeq lists it as uncharacterized. Lineage: Eukaryota; Metazoa; Chordata; Mammalia; Didelphimorphia; Didelphidae. The record is from RefSeq and is a predicted model, not a curated record.
CUCCUUUAAGAUCUUGCUACAAACACAUACACACACCCCUCUAAGGGGUGACUCCAGUUCUCUCCUAGUAGAAGACGCUACUAAAUAACUUUUCCAUCUGAUAAUUCACCGGGUUGCUUUAAGCGUCGCGGGAUCAUGGGGAAAGCCUGCAUGGUCACCCGAGCCCUUUUAAAAUGAAACCAGCCUUGCGAAGCUGCAGCAGCUCUUCUCCCCCCCCCCCCCCCCUCCAGCCCUGCUCCCUCUCCCUCUCUCCCUCUCUCCCUCUUCCCUUUCUCUCUUCCUCUCCGCCUUACCCGGGCUUGGAGCCUCUCUAACAGGCGCAGUGAGAGACGGACAGAUUCCACCAGGAGCGCAGGCUGCGUAACUUCCUCUGUGUGGCUUUAACACACCAUCCCACCACGGAGCAAUGGUCUUCUUAAAGCUGCAGGAAAGAAAUACAGCCAGACUCAGGGGAAGAGCCGCAGCAAAGGAGGGAAUGCUGAGAGCAGGGUGGUCCAGAGCCAGUGAGGUGCCCUGGUCCCCGUGGUGAUGAAGCUGAUGAAGCAAAGCUGCUCUGAAGCCUAGCUGGUUAAGCAUCUCCUUUCUUGGGCCUGGGGGCAAGCUCACCAAUACAAAACGGGUGCAUCCCUAGCCCAGUUUAGUCAUGAAUGUUUGGGGGAUAAGCCACAGUUCGUCAGCUUUUUUUCCCUCCAGGUAGCAGAAGGGGCUCCACUGGGCUGGCAAAAGGCCCAUGGGAGUGGAAGCUGCCCCCAUCUAAACCCAGACUGGGUGCCAGGAAGAGUCUUGAUCUCUGAAGCCAGCUCGGAGGACUGCCCUGUAACAUCCAAGAAGGCUUCUUUCUCUCCUUCAAUGCUACACAUAAGGACCAGAGCAGUGGAGAAAGGGGUGGGUGGGUGGAUUUGGGAAGAUGGGGGGGGGGGAACUGAGCAAAUAACCAGAGACUGAAUAUCAGCUGACACAUCAACGCCUCCACCCUGAUGGGAUCUGUUUUUGAUUAAGCCAAGCCAGAUUUUUUCACGGGAGGAGUAGGGGGAUUGGCAUGGAGCUACAAAAAGGUGUCAUCGCACCUACCCUCACUGGCAGAGAGAUGUGGUCGUUGGAGAACUCCUCCAGGGAUUGGGAGAGAAAACAAGGGGGACCCUCUGAGAAUCUAUCAGUUAAGGCAAAUCAGUUCUUCAAACCCUAAGAGCUUCUCUGAUAUACAGCUUUUCUGUGGGUUGAAAAGGAGUUUACUCUCUCCUCUAGAGGGGACUUCUGGGAGGCUGUCUUGGGUAUUCAUGGCUCCCUUUCCUUUACUGGAUGGGUCUAAGUAUGACUAUCUCAAGGGAAGUUUACAUUAUUACUCAGGUUCAUGAAGAAGAGAGAACCUGGGACAGAGAGACAAUAAAAAUUUUAGUCCAAGGUCAGGAAGGAUGCAGAGAGUAAGCACCAAGAAUUCCAAGCCCCAUCUCCUGCUUCUUCUCCACUUUAACCCUUUCCUAUUUCCAAUCACAAAAUUGUUUUUAUUUCCUUAGCCUAGAAAAAUAAGACUACACCCCCAAGUUCUAUUUCAAGGCCUAUUGUAAAAAAUAGUCUACAUGCUGUAGAAUUAUGAAGUGUCACUUGUUGCAUGGGGAAGAGCACUGACUGGGCGUCAUUCUAAGCUCCUACUUUGUAACUGACUUGCUAGUUAACCCUGGAUACAUCACCAUGCCUUUCAAAGCCUUA